This 254-nucleotide ribosomal RNA is filed under the name uncultured bacterium. Its description in RNAcentral is "partial 16S ribosomal RNA". It matches the Rfam family "Bacterial small subunit ribosomal RNA", at positions 524 to 776 of the family's 1533-position model. The record is from RNAcentral.
UACGUAGGGUCCGAGCGUUGUCCGGAAUUACUGGGCGUAAAGAGCUCGUAGGUGGUUUGUCACGUUGUUCGUGAAAACUCACAGCUCAACUGUGGGCGUGCGGGCGAUACGGGCAGACUAGAGUACUGCAGGGGAGACUGGAAUUCCUGGUGUAGCGGUGGAAUGCGCAGAUAUCAGGAGGAACACCGGUGGCGAAGGCGGGUCUCUGGGCAGUAACUGACGCUGAGGAGCGAAAGCGUGGGGGAGCGAACAGG